GAUGAACGCUGGCGGCGUGCUUAACACAUGCAAGUCGAACGGAAAGGCCCAAGCUUGCUUGGGUACUCGAGUGGCGAACGGGUGAGUAACACGUGGGUGAUCUGCCCUGCACUUCGGGAUAAGCCUGGGAAACUGGGUCUAAUACCGGAUAGGACCACUUCUUGGAUGUUGUGGUGGAAAGUUUUUUCGGUGUGGGAUGAGCUCGCGGCCUAUCAGCUUGUUGGUGGGGUAAUGGCCUACCAAGGCGUCGACGGGUAGCCGGCCUGAGAGGGUGUACGGCCACAUUGGGAAUGAGAUACGGCCCAGACUCCUACGGGAGGCAGCAGUGGGGAAUAUUGCACAAUGGGCGCAAGCCUGAUGCAGCGACGCCGCGUGGGGGAUGACGGCCUUCGGGUUGUAAACUCCUUUCGCUAGGGACGAAGCGUUUUUGUGACGGUACCUGGAGAAGAAGCACCGGCUAACUACGUG
This 468-nucleotide ribosomal RNA is filed under the name uncultured bacterium. RNAcentral's name for it is "partial 16S ribosomal RNA". It matches the Rfam family "Bacterial small subunit ribosomal RNA", at positions 28 to 507 of the family's 1533-position model. The record is from RNAcentral.